RNAcentral lists this ribosomal RNA (265 nucleotides) under uncultured bacterium. RNAcentral's name for it is "partial 16S ribosomal RNA". It matches the Rfam family "Bacterial small subunit ribosomal RNA", at positions 793 to 1055 of the family's 1533-position model. The record is from RNAcentral.
GUCCACGCAGUAAACGAUGGAUACUAGCUGUCCGGGUCGAGCGAGACCUGGGGGGCACAGCGAAAGCGUUAAGUAUCCCACCUGGGGGAGUACGCCGGCAACGGUGAAACUCAAAGGAAUUGACGGGGGCCCGCACAAGCGGAGGAACAUGUGGUUUAAUUCGAUGAUACGCGAGGAACCUUACCCGGGCUCAAACGCACAAGGAACACUUUUGAAAGGAGGUGGCCCCACGGGGGCCUUGUGCGAGGUGCUGCAUGGUUGUCGU